CCUACGGGGGGCAGCAGUAGGGAAUCUUCCACAAUGGGCGAAAGCCUGAUGGAGCAACGCCGCGUGGGUGAAGAAGGUCUUCGGAUCGUAAAACCCUGUUGUUAGAGAAGAAAGUGCGUGAGAGUAACUGUUCACGUUUCGACGGUAUCUAACCAGAAAGCCACGGCUAACUACGUGCCAGCAGCCGCGGUAAUACGUAGGUGGCAAGCGUUAUCCGGAUUUAUUGGGCGUAAAGGGAACGCAGGCGGUCUUUUAAGUCUGAUGUGAAAGCCUUCGGCUUAACCGGAGUAGUGCAUUGGAAACUGGGAGACGUGAGGGCAGAAGAGGAGAGGGGAACUCCAUGUGUAGCGGGGAAAUGCGUAGAUAUAUGGAAGAAAACCAGGGGCGGAAGCGGCUCUCUGGUCUGUAACUGACGCUGAGGUUCGAAAGCGUGGGUAGCAAACAGGAUUAGAUACCCCUGUAGUC
This 465-nucleotide ribosomal RNA is filed under the name uncultured bacterium. Its description in RNAcentral is "partial 16S ribosomal RNA". It matches the Rfam family "Bacterial small subunit ribosomal RNA", at positions 338 to 795 of the family's 1533-position model. The record is from RNAcentral.